RNAcentral lists this ribosomal RNA (492 nucleotides) under uncultured bacterium. Its description in RNAcentral is "partial 16S ribosomal RNA". It matches the Rfam family "Bacterial small subunit ribosomal RNA", at positions 29 to 507 of the family's 1533-position model. The record is from RNAcentral.
AGUGAACGCUGGCGGUAGGCCUAACACAUGCCAGUCGAACGGCAGCACAGUAAGAGCUUGCUCUUACGGGUGGCGAGUGGCGGACGGGUGAGGAAUACAUCGGAAUCUACUUUUUCGUGGGGGAUAACGUAGGGAAACUUACGCUAAUACCGCAUACGACCUACGGGUGAAAGCAGGGGAUCUUCGGACCUUGCGCGAUUGAAUGAGCCGAUGUCGGAUUAGCUAGUUGGCGGGGUAAAGGCCCACCAAGGCGACGAUCCGUAGCUGGUCUGAGAGGAUGAUCAGCCACACUGGAACUGAGACACGGUCCAGACUCCUACGGGAGGCUGCAGUGGGGAAUAUUGGACAAUGGGCGCAAGCCUGAUCCAGCCAUACCGCGUGGGUGAAGAAGGCCUUCGGGUUGUAAAGCCCUUUUGUUGGGAAAGAAAAGCAGCAGGUUAAUACCCCGCUGUUCUGACGGUACCCAAAGAAUAAGCACCGGCUAACUUCGUG